Molecule: ribosomal RNA, 750 nt
Filed under: Microbacterium sp. PTJT-3
Lineage: Bacteria; Bacillati; Actinomycetota; Actinomycetes; Micrococcales; Microbacteriaceae
Description: bacterial SSU rRNA
Rfam family: Bacterial small subunit ribosomal RNA
Source: RNAcentral
CGAACGGUGAAGCCCAGCUUGCUGGGUGGAUCAGUGGCGAACGGGUGAGUAACACGUGAGCAACCUGCCCCUGACUCUGGGAUAAGCGCUGGAAACGGCGUCUAAUACUGGAUACGAGUAGCGACCGCAUGGUCAGUUACUGGAAAGAUUUAUUGGUUGGGGAUGGGCUCGCGGCCUAUCAGCUUGUUGGUGAGGUAAUGGCUCACCAAGGCGUCGACGGGUAGCCGGCCUGAGAGGGUGACCGGCCACACUGGGACUGAGACACGGCCCAGACUCCUACGGGAGGCAGCAGUGGGGAAUAUUGCACAAUGGGCGCAAGCCUGAUGCAGCAACGCCGCGUGAGGGAUGACGGCCUUCGGGUUGUAAACCUCUUUUAGCAGGGAAGAAGCGAAAGUGACGGUACCUGCAGAAAAAGCGCCGGCUAACUACGUGCCAGCAGCCGCGGUAAUACGUAGGGCGCAAGCGUUAUCCGGAAUUAUUGGGCGUAAAGAGCUCGUAGGCGGUUUGUCGCGUCUGCUGUGAAAUCCGGAGGCUCAACCUCCGGCCUGCAGUGGGUACGGGCAGACUAGAGUGCGGUAGGGGAGAUUGGAAUUCCUGGUGUAGCGGUGGAAUGCGCAGAUAUCAGGAGGAACACCGAUGGCGAAGGCAGAUCUCUGGGCCGUAACUGACGCUGAGGAGCGAAAGGGUGGGGAGCAAACAGGCUUAGAUACCCUGGUAGUCCACCCCGUAAACGUUGGGAACUAGUUGUGG